RNAcentral lists this small nucleolar RNA (97 nucleotides) under Nannospalax galili (Upper Galilee mountains blind mole rat). Its description in RNAcentral is "Small nucleolar RNA SNORA28 (ENSNGAG00000002033.1)". The record is from RNAcentral. Lineage: Eukaryota; Metazoa; Chordata; Mammalia; Rodentia; Spalacidae.
AAAUCCCAAACUUUGGCAGAUGAACAGAACUAUCUGACACAAUUUGAAUUUGCUAUAGCAAGAAAGUCUAACCUAUUCCAUGAUAGGUAGGAAUGUU